This is a long non-coding RNA of Nicotiana tabacum (common tobacco), 1600 nucleotides long. RefSeq lists it as uncharacterized. Lineage: Eukaryota; Viridiplantae; Streptophyta; Magnoliopsida; Solanales; Solanaceae. The record is from RefSeq and is a predicted model, not a curated record.
CAUGUAUUAUUACUAUGCAAAAUGCAGCUCAAAUUAAGAUCAUAUCAGCGUUUUCCUCCGUUUUCGACAUUUGUUCUUCAUAAUCUGAACCGAAUCUGAACCGAGCAAAAUCUGAAGAGAAAUCCCAAAAUUCUGACCAAAAAUCUUUGAAUUGGAUAAAGUGAAGUUUUGCCAUCACCAACGUUCGGAAGUAAACGGCUCUAUUUUGAAUUUCUUGAGUUCGAAUCCCGCCUAAACCCUAACCCUAGUUUGCAUUUACAAAUAGUAAGGCAUUGCAGCCAUUUCACAGAUGGUUCAGCCGCCCCUUUUUAGCCCUCAAUCUCACGGUUCAGCCGAAAUUCCCCUCACUUUGUUCACUCCUCAAAAAGCUCUUUCAAAAACUAGUUGUUUUUCUUUUAAUCUCUCGGCUUUUGUUGGUUUAUGACCAAAACAGAGUGCUUUUCGUAGUUCGAGGUCGGAGUUCGAUAGUGGAUCUAAGACCCCCAGUUCGCUGCCCUAAAAAGCGAGGAUUUACAACAGAAUAGGGCUACAAACACCGCGAGGCUCCAACACCAACAACCACAUUCAAAGCAACAAAUUUUCUGUCAAGCGGAAACUAACAAGGUCAUUGUUGAUGAUGGUAAGGGUUUUGAGUCCGGUCAGGGAACUGCCGGAGCGAUAAGGAAACUGAACAAGGACAUUCUCGAACAUGAUCGAAGCUCAAGCUUCUCGCACGAGAGGAAAAACUCGCUGAUCGAGGUUACACUGUACAAGAAGCUUCUGGAAGCGCAGCAAAGCAAGAAUGGAGGAUUUGAACAUUACAGGCAGAUCUAGUAUUUGAACAAGCCAAAACACACAAUCAAAAGAUUGUGGAUCAGCCAUUGCAGCUUUAAUUUGAUAUUGGGAACGUCUCCAACAAAAUGUCAUUUUAAUUUACUAUCUGCUCCAAGUUAAUAGUUGAAAAACAUUUCCUUUUAGCACCAUUGGCAAUUCUAGAACUACACUUUGUAGCUCUCUUGGUAAUUGUAGAACAACUUUUUUUUAGCUUUCUUGCCAAUUUUAAGACGCUUCAUUGUAGCUCUUUUUGCACCUCUUCUUUUGUACCUCCCUUUUGCUCUGGAAGUCACAAAUUAUCAAUUCAAAUAACUCUUUUUAGCUCUCUUGGCAAUUUGUGACUUUUAGCACAAAUGGGAUCUACAAAAGAAGAUGUGCAAAAAGAGCUACAAAGAAGCGUCUUAAAAUUGGCAAGAGAACUAAAAAGAGUUGUUUUACAAUUGCCAAGACUACAAGAAGAAUCUAGAACUGCCGAUGAUGCUAAAAAUAUAUGUUUUUCAACUAACUUGGAGCAGACAGUUAAAUUAACACCACAUUUUGUUGGAGAGGUUCUACCUACCCAAUUUCAAAUUAUAGCUUCAAUGGCUGAUCAAGAAUCUUUUUCUUUCUGUUCUAGUUCAGGUUUUUAAUACAGUGCAUUUGAUUUACUUGGUUCGAAGUAGAUAAUUUCUACUUAUUUGAUGAAUUUUCUAAUACAUUAUAAAGUUCGAGCCGAACCUAUAUCGAAUGAACCCAUAAAACCUAUGCUAUAUGACUAUAUCUGCCCCUGAUUAUACUUUUCUUUUUA